GCCACGGUGGUCCAGCGGUUAGAACGCUGGCCUUGUAAUCCUGGGGUCUCGGGUUCGACUCCCGGCGGUGCCC
Non-coding RNA from Zootermopsis nevadensis, 73 nucleotides. Lineage: Eukaryota; Metazoa; Arthropoda; Insecta; Blattodea; Termopsidae. The record is from Rfam.